Molecule: ribosomal RNA, 424 nt
Filed under: uncultured Pseudoflavonifractor sp.
Lineage: Bacteria; Bacillati; Bacillota; Clostridia; Eubacteriales; Oscillospiraceae
Description: bacterial SSU rRNA
Rfam family: Bacterial small subunit ribosomal RNA
Source: RNAcentral
UGGGGAAUAUUGGGCAAUGGGCGCAAGCCUGACCCAGCAACGCCGCGUGAAGGAAGAAGGCUUUCGGGUUGUAAACUUCUUUUGUCAGGGACGAGUAGAAGACGGUACCUGACGAAUAAGCCACGGCUAACUACGUGCCAGCAGCCGCGGUAAUACGUAGGGGCGAGCGUUGUCCGGAAUGACUGGGCGUAAAGGGUGUGUAGGUGGUUUGAUAAGUUAGAUGUGUAAUACCCAGGGCUUAACUCGGGUGCUGCAUCUAAAACUGUUAGACUUGAGUACUGGAGAGGAUAGUGGAAUUCCUAGUGUAGCGGUGGAAUGCGUAGAUAUUAGGAGGAACAUCAGUGGCGAAGGCGACUAUCUGGACAGCAACUGACACUGAGGCACGAAAGCGUGGGGAGCAAACAGGAUUAGAUACCCUGGUAGU